AUUGAACGCUGGCGGCAGGCCUAACACAUGCCAGUCGAGCGGAUGAAGGGUGCUUGCUCCUGGCUUCAGCGGCGGACGGGUGAGUAAUGCCUAGGAAUCUGCCUGUUAGUGGGGGAUAACGUCCGGAAACGGGCGCUAAUACCGCAUACGUCCUGAGGGAGAAAGUGGGGGAUCUUCGGACCUCACGCUCUCAGAUGAGCCUAGGUCGGAUUAUCUAGUUGGUGGGGUAAAGGCCUACCAAGGCGACGAUCCGUAACUGGUCUGAGAGGAUGAUCAGUCACACUGGAACUGAGACACGGUCCAGACUCCUACGGGAGGCAGCAGUGGGGAAUAUUGGACAAUGGGCGAAAGCCUGAUCCAGCCAUGCAGCGUGUGUGAAGAAGGUCUUCGGAUUGUAAAGCACUUUAAGUUGGGAGGAAGGGAAGUAAGUUAAUACCUUGCUGUUUUGACGUUACCAAAAGAAUAAGCAACGGCUAACUUCGUG
RNAcentral lists this ribosomal RNA (484 nucleotides) under uncultured bacterium. RNAcentral's name for it is "partial 16S ribosomal RNA". It matches the Rfam family "Bacterial small subunit ribosomal RNA", at positions 30 to 507 of the family's 1533-position model. The record is from RNAcentral.